Molecule: long non-coding RNA, 984 nt
Organism: Daphnia pulicaria
Lineage: Eukaryota; Metazoa; Arthropoda; Branchiopoda; Diplostraca; Daphniidae
Exons: 5
Source: RefSeq, a predicted model, not a curated record
UUUUAUGAUUCUCAAUUUCAACAACAAUAUAAUUUUCCGUUAACAGCACAUUUUUUGAAAAAGAUUUAGUCUUGCACUUUCUUUUCGGGGUCUACUGUUUAGCGUCAUUCAUUUCUCAAAUUAUUUGCAAUGGCCGCCAUGUUUUGUAAAAUGUCAAAGUGACAAAAUUCUAAUAUUUUGAUUUACGGGAGCAGAAAGCAGACCCCUACUAAACAAUUUAAGUUGACAAAGUUGUGAAGAAUGAAUUCAUUCUAGCCUUUUAUCUAAUUCAGUUUUCCCUGGAACUAGUGUUUGUAUAAUGGACUAACAGUGCAGAAAAUAUUUUCGCCUACGAUCUUAACCUGUUGCUAGUUAAGUUGACAGCAAAAUGUUUUACGGCAUUUCAAACUGUUGCUGUUGGAUUCACAGCUUCAGCAACUACAAGAUUGGGCACGAAGAGAGGAGUCUAAUUCAAGAUCUGACAGAUGGGAAUCUUGCCUCCUCGCAAGAUCAGCUCAAAAAUGUUGGAUCAAAACCUACUUUGCUUGAAGCUAUGCAGCAAGAUUGGAAGAAAAAAAGGAAUCGCUUUUAGAAAAAAAAUAGGCUUAACUCUCUACUUUCAAGAAGAAAUGACGGCCUGGGUAGACUUACAGGGGAGCUCAAGGCUUUAACUGAUCAACUUGUUCAUGCUAAUAAAGAAAAAUCUGAAGCCCUUAUUAAAACUGAAGAGCUUAACAGCCAACAACUCACUUUGGAAUACAAAGAGAGAAGGCUGGACCAAGAACGGGAACUUAUUGUUCGACAACAGAGGCUUCUGCAAGAUGAACUUGAAACAAGAACAAGAGAGAUUAUGACCAUACGACGUGAGAAGACUUCAAGAGUGCUAGAACUCGAAGAACUAGAAGAAAACAUUGAAGCCAUGUCACCUGCGGCUUCUCGGUUGUUAAAAUCAGGAAUGACCCUAACUCAGAUUUAUAGUCAAUAUGUGUCUAUUUCUGAGCAAAU